GAGUUUUUUGACCUGCUCAGGACGAACGCUGGCGGCGUGCCUAAUACAUGCAAGUCGAGCGCUGGAAGCUAAUUUCAUCCCUUCGGGAUGAAGUUAGUGGAAAGAGCGGCGGACGGGUGAGUAACACGUGGGCAACCUACCUAUAAGACUGGGAUAACUCGCGGAAACGUGAGCUAAUACCGGAUAAUACUUUUUAUUGCAUAAUAAGAAGUUUGAAAGGCGGCGUAAGCUGUCACUUAUAGAUGGGCCCGCGGCGCAUUAGCUAGUUGGUGAGGUAAAGGCUCACCAAGGCAACGAUGCGUAGCCGACCUGAGAGGGUGAUCGGCCACACUGGGACUGAGACACGGCCCAGACUCCUACGGGAGGCAGCAGUAGGGAAUCUUCCGCAAUGGACGAAAGUCUGACGGAGCAACGCCGCGUGAGUGAAGAAGGUUUUCGGAUCGUAAAACUCUGUUGUUAGGGAAGAACAAGUCAGGUAGUAACUGACCUGACCUUGACGGUACCUAACCAGAAAGCCACGGCUAACUACGUGCCAGCAGCCGCGGUAAUACGUAGGUGGCAAGCGUUGUCCGGAUUUAUUGGGCGUAAAGCGCUCGCAGGCGGUCUUUUAAGUCUGAUGUGAAAGCCCACGGCUUAACCGUGGAGGGUCAUUGGAAACUGGAGGACUUGAGUGCAGAAGAGGAGAGUGGAAAUUCCAUGUGUAGCGGUGAAAUGCGUAGAGAUAUGGAGGGAACACCAGUGGCGGAAAGGCGGACUCUCUGGUCUGUAACUGACGCUGAGGAG
Molecule: ribosomal RNA, 783 nt
Filed under: Ornithinibacillus sp.
Lineage: Bacteria; Bacillati; Bacillota; Bacilli; Caryophanales; Bacillaceae
Description: bacterial SSU rRNA
Rfam family: Bacterial small subunit ribosomal RNA
Source: RNAcentral